This is a long non-coding RNA of Corapipo altera (White-ruffed manakin), 358 nucleotides long. RefSeq lists it as uncharacterized. The record is from RefSeq and is a predicted model, not a curated record. The transcript is spliced from 3 exons. NCBI's taxonomy places the organism in Eukaryota, Metazoa, Chordata, Aves, Passeriformes, Pipridae.
UGUUGUCCCUAGGUUCAUCCCAGGAUGCCCAGGCUUUUUUCAAGGAGCGCUGCAAGGUGUUACAGGCAGAGCUGGUCCAGUGCAUCCAGAGUCCCAGAAAUUUCUUCAGGACAGCUUCAAACAGGCCUACUGUUGAAUCCUUGUUUCUACUGCUUCUGAGAAAGGUUUUUCAGGGCAGACAUUGAUUUUCCAUGUGCUUUCUGGAAACUAUCAGGCACAAUUCAGCUACUUAAGACAGAGUAACAAUAAGAAAAUGUACUGUAAACAAAACAGAGAGCAUGCCAAAAUGGGAUGCCUGACACAUUUCUGCAUGGGAAUCUUCUGCACACUCCAACCAAGAUGCUUUUGCUCCUUGCAA